ACAAGCGGUGGAGUAUGUGGUUUAAUUCGAUGCAACGCGAAGAACCUUACCUGGUCUUGACAUCCCGGAGACCCUUAGGAAACUAGGGGGUGCUUCCAUCUGGAAGAAUCUGGAGACAGGUGCUGCAUGGCUGUCGUCAGCUCGUGUCGUGAGAUGUUGGGUUAAGUCCCGCAACGAGCGCAACCCUUGCCUUUAGUUGCCAGCAGUUCGGCUGGGCACUCUAAAGGGACUGCCGGUGUUAAACCGGAGGAAGGUGGGGAUGACGUCAAGUCCUCAUGGCCUUUAUGACCAGGGCUACACACGUACUACAAUGGCCGAUACAAAGGGCAGCGACACUGCGAGGUGAAGCCAAUCCCGUAAAAUCGGUCUCAGUCCGGAUCGCAGUCUGCAACUCGACUGCGUGAAGUCGGAAUCGCUAGUAAUCGUGAAUCAGAAUGUCACGGUGAAUACGUUCCCGGGCCUU
This 463-nucleotide ribosomal RNA is filed under the name uncultured Desulfobulbus sp. RNAcentral describes it as "bacterial SSU rRNA". It matches the Rfam family "Bacterial small subunit ribosomal RNA", at positions 925 to 1382 of the family's 1533-position model. Lineage: Bacteria; Pseudomonadati; Thermodesulfobacteriota; Desulfobulbia; Desulfobulbales; Desulfobulbaceae. The record is from RNAcentral.